Xiphophorus couchianus (Monterrey platyfish) is the source of this 6423-nucleotide long non-coding RNA. RefSeq lists it as uncharacterized. The transcript is spliced from 2 exons. NCBI's taxonomy places the organism in Eukaryota, Metazoa, Chordata, Actinopteri, Cyprinodontiformes, Poeciliidae. The record is from RefSeq and is a predicted model, not a curated record.
AGAAUAAACAUGUACACAAAGAGAGAGCGGCCGUAUAAAUAAAGGUCAAAUAAAAAAUAAAAAUAAUAUUAAAGUAUAUAUCACUGUAAAGAAUAGAAAUAACCGUUAGCCCAGUAAAAACCUGAAUAAAGUUGCUCCGAGUUUCUUCAAAUAAAACAAAAUUGGUUUCAAACGUUUGUGCUGCAAAAAUUUACCGUAUCAUUUUAAAAAUAUUAAUAAAUGUUUCCAGAGGUCAUCAAAGGUCAACCAGCUUCCCUACAUUUUCAGAUCAAACAGGUUUUGUGUCAAUCAACUGUGCUACAACAAAUUUUAGCUGUAAAAUUGUUAAUUUUAUUUAUCUUAAAAAGUACAACGGUACAAACAAAGGUUUUGUGCACAAAUAUUUGAUGCCAAUUGCAUUUAAUUUGAAGAAGGUGGAGGAGGCAACUUCACUCAGGUCUAGUCAAAGCAUGUGGAUGCAAACACAGAAAAAUACGGUGGAGUAUUAAGGCCAUCCUGAGGAAAAUAAAAAAUAAAAUGAGAACAUAAUGAGAAUAAUGUCAGAAAAUUACAACAAUAAAAUCGUACGAGACUAAAGUCAAAAUAAUUUUAGUAUAAAGUCACAAUUUCACAAGAAUUAAGUCGUAUGAGAAUAAAGUCAAAAUAAUGCAAUAAUGAAGUUGUAAUAUGAGAAUACAGUAAGUAUUUUAAUAAUAAAGUCAUAAUGUUAAAUGUAUAAAGUCAUAUCAGAAUAAAGUUAGAAUGAUAAGAGAAUAAAUUCAAAAUAUUUUGAGAAUAAGGUCAUAGUAUCACAAGAAUAGCAAUGUAAUCUGAGAAUAAAAUCAUAACUUAGUCUGGUAAUGCUACGAUUUAUUCACAACUUUCUUCUUAAUUAAAUUUUUUUAUUUUCUUAGUGUGUCCCUAAUAAAAGGUGAAAUACAUUUUUGUUUCCUUAAUUUGGAAUUACUAUGGUAAAAGCUGAUAUAUUUUAUCUUAUGAUCUACUAAUUCAGCUGUUUUAUGUGUAGUAAAGGGAUAAAAGUGCUGAAAGUAGAAAGAUUAAGAGUAAAUUAUUACAUUUCAUGAUUUCCCAGCCUCUGCGCUCCGCUCCUGCUGCCUGAGUGAAGCUGGUGGCUGUGAUUUUGGCUGCUCUCUCAGAGCCGGAGCGCACCAUUAAGUGCUGUGUUAUUUACACAUCAUAAGCCAGUCUAUUAUAUUGACAUCCAGACGACCCGGUCCGGCACCGCUCCGCGCGUCGCGCCGCCUCGCUCUGUUUGCGCUCAACGCCAGCAUGCUGAUUGGGUGAUUUCCACCGAUAUGACAUUCCAACGCUGCGGACCGCGGGCUGCAGUGUUUCAGUCCGAAAGCAUUCAUUACCCGGCGAGAAAUGAGACAAAAGGUCAAGGAAGGGUGGAGCCAUGUGAAGUGGAGGUGGGGUUUACAAUCCAAUUGGGGAUUAAGUUAUCUCUUAUAUCUCUUACUUACAAUAAAUCCACACGUCUCCAUCUGAAAUGGCUUGUUUAAACUGUAGAGGAGCAUGAAGCAAAUGUUUGACUUUAUUUAAAAUUCAUUGUUCGGUAUUACAUUGCCGGCCGGGGUGAGCCCUGGGACUCCAAAAGGUGAGCAUACAAGCAGAAUGGGCUUUUUUUUAAAAAAAACAUUAUUAUUAUUCUGAUCCUGGAAUUGCAGAAUUGCCAUCCGGUUGUUGUCCUCCACUCUGUGCUGCCAUUUACCAACAGCAUCAAAAUAUUUGACAUCCUAUAAUAGGAUUGCAUCCAGAGUAAUUCCUGUAACUGCUCUUGACAUAAGUGCCCCAAGUAAAAUAAAUCUCUGUGAACCAUUUAAAAGCAUUAAUGCAGAUAAAGGAGAAUACAUUUCCUUUGCCUCAGAUUAUUAGAAUAUGAGAGAGUUAUCGUCUCUGUAGGCUCUGCUGCACGGCAGCGUCACUGACGGCACAAAAAUGGACUUUUAAACUGAAAAUAAUAUAUAAUAUUGCUGUUUGUAUUUUUGGAGAUCUUUCUUUGGAGAACAAAAUUUACAUUGUUUAUUUAAUGCAAUCAUUUUAUCCACAAUUUCAAGAACCAAACACACAAGUUUCCACUGAAAAUUUGUAAUUAUAGCAAAUAUUUCCAAUAUUUAGAAGCUUAAAACAUUUACUAGUUACAGUAUUUUGUAUAAACUAUUGGUAUUUUUUGUUACUUUAUUAUACUCGUAAGUCGUCCAAGUGAAAAAUAGGAAUGCUGGGGAGUGAUUCCCAACAUAUAAAGUGAAAAUAUUGGAUUUUUUCUCUGGACUGAAACUCCCGUCGGUCCCGUCUGACCUCACCGUAAACUCCAGAGAGUAAAUUAAGGGGUUCAGGUGAAACCCUCUGGACUUUAUUAGCAGCAUUUUGGGGCUUCGCUUAUGGAGAACAGAAAGUUUUUCCCACAAACGUCCAGCAGCAUCGCAGUAAAUUUAUAACAUUUAAAAACAUUUAACAUUAUAUGCAUGUGUUUGAAAUGACUUAUGAGCAUAUUUUGGUCCACUUAUUUAAAUACAUCACACUCUAUUUUUUUAAUAAUAAAUCAAUUGAGUAAAAACUAAAUUAUUCGAGUUGGUCUCGUUCUAUGUUUUUAAUUUUGUUGGUCAAAUUCUGCCUUAAGAUACAUUAACUAAAAAAAUAAAACAGCUUAAAUACUUUAUUAAUUUCAAAGGGAAAUUUAAUGUUGUUGUGACUCAUAUUAAUUCAUAUUUUUCAAGUUUAAUUUAUUGUUUCCACCAAAAAGUCUUUAAGAGUUUACUUUGUCUCCUAAAUAGGCUAAAUUUAAAAACUUGAUGUUUUUUUAUGCAUAAUUUUGAUAUAGAAAGCAAAUUAAAGGACAAAAUGAUAAAAACAGAAGUCUUUAUGUUGGUAAAAGUCUGUUUGCUUUAACGUUUCUGACCUCUUACUCCCACUGACCUGCACUGAGAAACGUCUGGAUGGUAAAAGAAACAAUAAAAACAAACGGGAAGUCGAUGGGAAUCCGUGAUAAACCUGGCAGAUAAUUUCCCGUUCUCACCUCCGCCGGGAGCCGCAGCACCCACCGGAUCCGGGGCAGGGUCGGGGGUCGGGGUCCCACCGGGAGAUCCUCUCUGUGGUUAUCAUGCUCCAUCUAGUGGCUGCACAGGGUUAGACGAGGAAGAGGAGGAAGAGGAAGCCGGCAUCAAUUACCUGCUCCUGAAAGAAAGCGGCAACACAGUGUAAAGAUUUAUUUUCUCUCUUUGAUUAAAAGUCAACUUUCGCUGCUUAUGGCUAUAAAAUGAAAAGAAAACAGACAUAAUUGGGUUAAAUUUGAUAAUAUGUUUGAACAUCAUCUUUAAUAUGCUCCAUAAAGGAGUGCAUGUCUUGCAUGUGCAAAUUAAAUCCUGUUUAGGGGAACAGUGUUGAGACUGAAGCAAUGCGCGGCUCACGUUACACAGAUAUGAGGCAGCGGGACGUGCGAACCGUCGCCGUCUUGCUCACAUCCAACUGGAAAGUGAUCUUCAGCGAACUCCCAUUGUGAGCCUCUCUGGAGUAAACGCAACAAAAUUGAUCUCAGGUCUCUCCCGAGUUUGCAGAUGGGAGCGUUUUAGUCGCUCCUGGUGGCAAUUUCCAAACAUGGAAAGCUGGGAGGUCGCCACGGCAACCUGCGAGCCAAACACAGGACUUCCACCUGCCUGCUAACUUUUUCAGGGGCGCCGCUUUCCCGCUUGAAAGAGGAGAAAUGAGAGGGUGAUGUUCAGACAGCAUGUUAACAAUUCAUCCAGAUUCUGGUGUGUGUGUGUGUGUGUGUGUGUGUGUGUUUGCGUUUGUUUGUAAUACCUUGUGGGAACCAUUUUCCUGACACAUACAACGUUGUGAGGACCCACUGCUCCCUGUGGGGACCGAAGCCUGGUUAGAUUUAGGACUAAGGUGUGAAUUGGGUUGAGGUUUUGGUUGAGUUUGGGUUAGGUAUGUAAUGGACAGGGUUAGGAUAAGGGUAAGGUUUAGGCUGUAGAAAUGAAUGGAAGUCAAUGGAAGGUCCCCACAAAGAUAGCUAUGCAAACAUGUGUGUGUGUGAACCCGGUUUUUAUAUCUUUGUGGGGACCUACUGCUGUCUAACUGUGGGGUGGUGGGGACACUGCAUCUUGUGGGGACAUUUCGCUGUUUUGGGGGUUGGGGUUAAGUUUAGGAUUUAUGUGUGAAUUGAGUUUUGAUGAGGGUUAGAGGUUAAUCAUGUGAUGGUUAGGGUAAGUGUUACCCUCUAGAAAAUGAAUGGAAGUCAAUGUAAAGUCCCUACAAGAUACAAAAACAUGACGGCGUGCAUGUGUGUGAGUGUGUGUGUGUGUGUGGGUGUGUGUAUGUGUGUGUGUGCCAGUUGGAGGCUCUGCUAAUGUAUUGUGACUCCUGCUGUCAACGGUUCGUCUCCCCUCCGUCUUGCUGUAAUUUCAGGCCAUCUCCACUCCAGAGUGGCCCACAACAGUUCGUUCUACACCUCCAUGUUUUGAGAGAGUAAAGCACCAUGUGGCCCAGCUGGGCUAAACAUGCUCCUGCUGAAAAGGACAAUCAAACUGUUUUGUGGGGCAUUUGUGUUCUGCUUGUACUUUACGGCUUCCAGACUCUGAAUAGCAGUGGACCUUUUUACUCAAUAAACCUCAAGAGAAUAUUUGGUUUAUUUUACAUCAACGGCAACAGCACUGAGCUGCUUGAUGUGGAGUACAGUUACAAUAUGAAAACCAAAAUUAUUACGUUUCUAUCAACAAAAAAAAAAUAUAUAUAUAUAUAUAUAUAUAAUGUCUAUUUGCAAGCAAAAUUUAGUUUAACUUCACUUUUUAAAAUAUGUGGAGCAGUAAUGACAAUCUUUACUAUGGAAAAAAAAAAAUUCUACCUUUUCAGAAUUUUGACUUUAAUUUCAAAAUUCUGACUUUAAAGAAGGUAGCACAAGCAAAUGAAGUGGAUUAGCAGAGCUUGGUGUCUCUCCUACCUGCAUAUUGAGCUGUUAGCAUGUUGGGGCUGUGAUCAGACCAUCUUCAGUCAGAGACCUCUUCAGAUCUGUUGUAAGACUGACUGCUACCAGAGAUCCUUCCUGCCCACAGCAUCACAACUCUAUGAAGAUACAGAUAUGAGUUACUACAUUCAAGCUCCCUUUGGAAUAAAUAAUAUUUAUUUUAUUGAAGCUGUAUUUAGAAUCAUAUAACUUCAAGUUAUUGCCAGUAAAAGUGGUUCUUGAAUUAUGGGGUGUACUUAGUUUUUCAUACACACCUUUUUAUAUUUCUUCAGAAUCUGCUGUGUGUUUUUGUACAGUUGAAGUUAUAUCAAGCCUGGUAAAAACAAUUGAUGACCCAAAAAUAAAAAAAAAUAAUAAUGUUUUUAAUUUAAUAAGUAAACAGUCCAGACCCACUUAUGUUUUGGAUAUUUAAUGGAUUUACAGAUUUUAUAAAAAAUUUUGUUCAAACAACUGAUCACAAUGAACAAUAUUUUUCAUUUUUAAUUAACUUAAUUUUGUGGCCCACAACAAGUUCAAGGUUGUCAGUUUUGGUCCUCUGGGUGAAAUGUUUGGACACUCCUGCCUUAAAACUGCAGUCAUUUUUAUAAAACGAUGUAAUUUUUAUAUAUUUGUUGAAACUAUCCCCAGAUAAUCCAUGAAAAUGUUUUAGCUCCUCUGCCUUCUCCCAAUGCUAACUAGAAACAACCAAUCAGAGCCAGGAGGCGGGUCUUAGCGCUAUCAAUCACCCUGCCUGUAGCUACCUGCUAUGCUGCAGCUAAUGUACCCUACUGUCAAUGCUCAGGCUCAUUGCAUAGCCACCGAUGAUGGUAAAUAAACAAUUUUCCUGUAAUAAGUUGUUUCUCCACCAUUAGGACAUUUAGCAACAUGUUCACAGGUUGAUUGACAGCACUAAGACAGUCCUACUGGCUCUGAUUGUUUGUUUUUGUGGGGAGAAGGUGGAGGAAAUCAAUCUUUUCACUGAUAAUUUGUCUCAUAUUUUGCUGUCACAACAUAACGCUUUUAACAAAUAUGUAAAAAACAAUUUUUUUAAUAGAAGUUAAACACCUCAGAUUUAAAUGUAAGACAAACUGACCUGAGCGCCUGGAGAAUAAAGUUGCUCUGAAAGGUUAAAGGACAUCUCGUUGUCUGUUUCAAUCCAUUUCUUCUGCAUUCUUCUAAUCAGCACUAAUCACUUCAGUUUCAUUUGUCCAAGCAGUGGAUGAAGCAAUCCCUGAAGCCAAAGCUGCUCAUUCAUUAGAUUGUUUUAAUGUGCCUGAAAGCAGUUGUGCAAAUAAACAAGCCGUUACAGCGAAACGAGAGGAAUCCCUUCAACCCAGCAGGGACCGCAGCUCCAACUUGUGCCUUUUAUCAUAUUAAUCCCACGCAACGUCAUUUCUCAGGUCCACAAGAAGGACUUAUAAAUUGCCUCUAAUAGGCUUCAAAUCAAGCACUAAUUAAAACUGCAUUAACCUUAAUGAAUC